Molecule: unclassified non-coding RNA, 586 nt
Filed under: Borrelia duttonii
Lineage: Bacteria; Pseudomonadati; Spirochaetota; Spirochaetia; Spirochaetales; Borreliaceae
Description: partial contains 16S ribosomal RNA and 16S-23S ribosomal RNA intergenic spacer
Rfam family: tRNA (bases 147-220)
Source: RNAcentral
AGGGGGGUGAAGUCGUAACAAGGUAGCCGUACUGGAAAGUGUGGCUGGAUCACCUCCUUUCUAAGAGAAAGGUAUUACUUAAAGGUAAAUUAUGAAAUGUAAAUUAUGUUUUAACUCUUCCUUUGUCUUUUCUAAGACUAUUUUUAGGGGGUUUAGCUCAGUUGGCUAGAGCAUCGGCUUUGCAAGCCGGGGGUCGAGGGUUCGAGUCCCUCAACCUCCAUUUAUUUUAGGCUGAAUAAAUGGAGGUUAUAAUUAGCAGUAAUGCUAUGUUGAUUGUAGCUAAAUUUAAAAUUGUUAAGGAUCUGUUCUAAUUUUAUUGUCUAGACAAUGUGUUUUUUAUUAUGUCUUUAAUUAAGUACGGUUGUUUACGUAUGGCAAGUCAUGAUAAGUGAUCUUAAUUUGAUUUUGUUUUUUCAUUUUUUGUUUGCAUUCGUUAUAAUUAAUUUUUGAUUUUCAAGAUGUGGGCUUAGGAGUUGCAAAUCACUAAGCAUAAGGCAUUUCUUUAAAUAUUUGGAUGUUUCUUGAAAUGAGUCUUAGUAAAUUGGGACCAGGAGGACUUGAACCUCCGACCUCAGGUUUAUCAGAC